RNAcentral lists this non-coding RNA (31 nucleotides) under Mus musculus (house mouse). Lineage: Eukaryota; Metazoa; Chordata; Mammalia; Rodentia; Muridae. The record is from RNAcentral.
UGAGGUUACUUUGUGAAAUAUUCCUUAGGUC